This 253-nucleotide ribosomal RNA is filed under the name uncultured bacterium. Its description in RNAcentral is "partial 16S ribosomal RNA". It matches the Rfam family "Bacterial small subunit ribosomal RNA", at positions 524 to 776 of the family's 1533-position model. The record is from RNAcentral.
UACAGAGGUCUCAAGCGUUGUUCGGAUUCAUUGGGCGUAAAGGGUGCGUAGGUGGCGCGCUAAGUCAGGUGUGAAAUUUCGGAGCUUAACUCCGAAACUGCAUUUGAUACUGGCGUGCUUGAGGACUGGAGAGGAGACUGGAAUUCACGGUGUAGCGGUGAAAUGCGCAGAUAUCAGGAGGAACACCGGUGGCGAAGGCGGUUCUCUGGGCCUUACCUGACGCUGAGGAGCGAAAGCGUGGGGAGCGAACAGG